UACGUAGGGUGCGAGCGUUAAUCGGAAUUACUGGGCGUAAAGCGUGCGCAGGCGGUUCUCCAAGUCCGUUGUGAAAGCCCCGGGCUCAACCUGGGAAUGGCAGUGGAAACUAGGGGACUGGAAUCUGGCAGAGGGGGGUGGAAUGCCGCGUGUAGCAGUGAAAUGCGUAGAGAUGCGGCGGAACCCCAGAGGCGAAGGCGGCCCCCUGGCUCGUACCUGACGCUCAGCCACGAAAGCAUGGGGAGCGAACGGG
This 253-nucleotide ribosomal RNA is filed under the name uncultured bacterium. RNAcentral describes it as "partial 16S ribosomal RNA". It matches the Rfam family "Bacterial small subunit ribosomal RNA", at positions 524 to 776 of the family's 1533-position model. The record is from RNAcentral.